Molecule: ribosomal RNA, 516 nt
Filed under: Triticum aestivum (bread wheat)
Lineage: Eukaryota; Viridiplantae; Streptophyta; Magnoliopsida; Poales; Poaceae
Description: partial small subunit ribosomal RNA
Source: RNAcentral
AUGGAGGAGGAGGAGGCCGCCGGCGUGAGGAAGCGGAAGCGCGGCGGGGAGGCCGUGGCCCUGGUGUCCGGCGGGGAGGCGGGGCUCGUCGAGGGAGGUGGUGGCUUCUCCUGGAAGGAGGCGGAGAUGGAGGAGGGGGAGGGGGAGGAGUACGAGGGCAUCGCGGAGGAGUCGGUGGAGGAGGUGAUGCGGUGGCUGGAGCUGGAGAUCUCCUCCUCGCCGGGGAAGCCCGGCGGCGGCGACGACGGGUUCGUGACCAUCAACGGCAACGAGGAGAGCUGCGGCCCGUCCUUCUCCGCCGCGGCGUCCACCGUCAUGGCCUCCGUGGACACGCGCGCGGGCGCCCCGCCGCCCCCGACGGCCAUCCCCUGGCCGUGGCCCGAGCCCAACAACGACACCACCAAGCCGGCGGCGGCGGACGGCAACGACGACGACGCGGACAUGGCGGAGCUCGUCGACGAGGAGUGGCUGGUGGAGCUGCUGACCGGCGGCGGGCCCGCGCUGGAGGUAGAGUAG